GAAAAUGUAUGUAGGAUGAGGACAUCUUUUUGAGUCGAAAGUGGAUGCCAGAGCCUCAGGAAGCUGGUACCAUCCACAAGAACGGCUUUAUGUUAGUAAGUCCCAUCCUUCUAAGGUCUUUAACUAACUCUUGGUUCUGUUUUUUUCACCAAUUUGCAAUUGUUUGCCUUGUGUGUGCUUAGUUUGAAUACUUUAAAGUUUUAUGGAUGUGGUGCAUUGAGUAUAGUAUAUUUGUUUGUAAACUUUUAAAUUUUUCGAAUAGAUUGGUUAAUAAAAUAAAUUCAUUAAUUAUGGUAAUAUACUUGGUAUAAUUGUCCUCAUAUGUUUUUUGCAUUCAAAAUAAAAUAAAAGUAAAUAUUAGCUCACUAGUUUUCUAAUAUUUAAACUAAUACUAAGCAGUAUUACGUGGUUGGAUUGUAAUACAGAAAAAUAACUUAUAUUAAUAGACUAACCUAAACAUGUCCUUAAUCUAAUCGAGAAUGAACAAAUUGAUUGAAAAACUAAUAUGUCAUCUAUCAAAUCCAAUUAGAAAAUGAGCAUCGGAGCAGGUGACUCCCAAAAGAUAAAGAUAUAGAUGUGACUGAUUGGAUUGACAAUACAUCGGACUGGAUCCAUAAAGAAUAGAUCUUGAAUCUGUUUAUGAAUUUAUUCACUUGUAACGUUUAUAGUAUGACAUACCUAGAUCCUGAAUAGAUGAUUGACUAUGUUUGCAUGAUUCGUAUAUUUUGAUAUAAGUAAAAGUAUGAUUUCAAAUAGAUAAAAAAACCGAAAGUUGGUAUGUUGGGUACACGAUUUCUGCAGUAUGUAGCAUCAUUUACAACAGUGAAAUUUAUAGUCCGAGACAUGAGUAAAUGAUAUCCUCUCAUUGACAUUACAUAGUUAAUGAAAAGUAAACUGGCUACAAGUUGUUCAUCAUUGUGAUUAAUGACUUGAUUAUUAUUUGACAGUAAUUAACUUUUCAUGAGAUAAAACAAGAUCAUAUUAGGAGAACGAAUGUUAUCCCAAAAAGAUUAAGGAUGUCUUAUGAGGGUAAUAUACUUAUGACACGGUCAUUGAACGAGCAUUAAUCGAGUUGCUUUCGUAAUAGUAUAUCGUUAAGGAUGGCUCAGUCACGAUACUAUUAUGGAAUGACUUCGUGACUAAAUAAGUUUAUAAAAUAUUAUGUUAAAAGUUUAAGAAAUACUUGUAAUUGAACUUAAUAUGGGAGAGACCCAAAAGCCCUCAUAUUUAAUGGGAGGGACGAUAAACCCUAAUAUUAUUAAUUAGGGUAGGGUUGUCGCCCCCUAUACUUCUAGUUAAACUACAAGUUCGUUUUUCUAGUUGAAAUAAGCUUCUACCAUUCAAAAAGAAUUCUACUUCAUCUUCAUAUAAAUAGAUGACAAUGGUAAGACUAAAUAUGUAACAUCCCCACUUUAAAAAAAUAAAAAGAAAGAGAAGAAAAUUAUUUAUGGUAGAAGUCCUUAAAUAAGAAGAUGAAAGGACUUCUACCAUAAAUGAAAGAAGAAUUUUUUUUCUUUCCCCUCCAAUUCCCAGAGGGUCGAGGGAGAAAAGACUAAGUCUGUCAGUUGUUAUUAUUGUUAAUCCCAAUUCCCAGAGGGUCGAGGGAGAAAAGACUAAGUCUGUCAGUUGUUAUUAUUGUUAGUCCCAAUUCCCAAAGAGUCAUGGACUUCUCUGAUAGCCAUCGUUGCCAAAAAACUCGGGGUGGCGGAUUCGUGUAUCAAGUUAUGAGUCUAAACUUUAGUACGGGGUCUAAAAUGAAAGAAAGUAAAAAUAAAAGUUGAAUUUAUUUGAAUUUUCAUAUUGUGCAAAUUAAAUUAAUUCCGUGAUUUUGAAUUUAAUUAAAAACCUUAUUUUCUUUAUUCAAUUUGUCAAUAUCAAAAUAUUAAAGUUUAUUAAUAUUAGAAAAUUUCUUUUAUUGUGAUGUUAUUAAUGAUAUUUAUAAUCAUGUUUUAGUUUAUAUUUAUCAAUUAAUUUGUCUCCAAUACUUAUGCAACGAUUUAUAUGAUAUUAGCACCACUGAGUACAAAAAUUGCUCAACUUAUGGUUUGUUUAUUUUUUCGUGCACAGGUAGUUAGGUUUGUUAGAUCGUUCCAGCAGCAUCUGAAGAACCGAAGUUCAGCUCAAACAAUGUUGGUGAAGAGUUUACUUUAUAGUUAAUGUAAAUGGCAUGUACCUAGGCUUAUAAAUAUAUAAUAUUAUGUCGUAAACUGAAUUUAAAUAUUUUCAUUAUGUUUUCUUAGCUAGUAUUUUAUAACUAAUGUUUUGAUAAAAUAGUAAAGUAUAGAAAUCUAGUUUAUUGA
Molecule: long non-coding RNA, 2300 nt
Filed under: Gossypium barbadense (sea-island cotton)
Lineage: Eukaryota; Viridiplantae; Streptophyta; Magnoliopsida; Malvales; Malvaceae
Description: long non-coding RNA (GBAR_LNC017075)
Source: RNAcentral